GUGGGGAAUAUUGGACAAUGGGCGCAAGCCUGAUCCAGCAACGCCGCGUGGAGGAAGAAGGCCUUCGGGUCGUAAACUCCUGUCAGUUGGGACGAAAAGCCAUCGGACAAUACCCGGUGGUCAUGACGGUACCAGCAGAGGAAGCCCCGGCUAACUCCGUGCCAGCAGCCGCGGUAAUACGGAGGGGGCAAGCGUUAUUCGGAAUUAUUGGGCGUAAAGGGCGCGUAGGCGGCUUGGUAGGUCAAAGGUGAAAUCCCUCGGCUCAACCGAGGAACUGCCUUUGAAACCGCCUCGCUUGAGGCUGGGAGAGGGCAGCGGAAUUCCCGGAGUAGCGGUGAAAUGCGUAGAUAUCGGGAGGAACACCAGUGGCGAAGGCGGCUGCCUGGACCAGUUCUGACGCUGAUGUGCGAAAGCGUGGGGAGCAAACAGG
RNAcentral lists this ribosomal RNA (430 nucleotides) under uncultured bacterium. Its description in RNAcentral is "bacterial SSU rRNA". It matches the Rfam family "Bacterial small subunit ribosomal RNA", at positions 354 to 776 of the family's 1533-position model. The record is from RNAcentral.